GUGUUUUCCGGAAUUUAAAAUAAUUUCUCUUCUAUCAAAUAUUAAUAAAUUUUUCCUAAAUGUCCCUAUUUAGACAUCAAAAAUUCUGAAUUUUCUCCUCAGAGUCUGCAUGAUUUUAUCUUUGGAGUAUUCACUCCAUUUGUUGACUUAGCUCCUUUUCUUGGUGAAAAAGCAAAGGAAGUUAUUUAGUCUGAGUUCUUGGUGUUUUAAAUAAAAUGAAAUUAGAAUACUGCAUGUUUAAUAUGGCAUAGUGGCUAGAUCCCUGGAUCUGGUAUCAGGACCUUUGUUUGAGUCCUCCUACUGUAUACUACCUGUGUUAAUUUGCAUAAUCCUCUUUAUUUUCUUGGGCCUUACUUUGCUCCCCUGAAAAAAGAAUGGUCAGAUCCCUAAUAUUUUUGCUAGUGCUGAGUAUGAUCUGGUAUUAAAAAAAAAAAAAAAUCAUGAAAUAAAAUAACUUUAUCAGCCAUUAGUACAGUAUCUUAUACAUGUAAGUGUUUAAUAAAUCCUUGUUGAUUGGAUAGUGUGGUAUGGUAGGACUUAUAUAGUGCUUUUUAGUUAUGAAAGAUCUUAAGUAGUUUUUCUUUUUUCUUUAAUAUUUUUCUUUUCCUUAGUUAAAUGUCAAAUAAUUUUUUACAUUUGAAUUUAAAACUUUUGAGUUCCAGAUUUUCAGCUUUUCUCCCCAUCCUUCCUAAAUGAGAAAGCAUAUGUGAAGGUAUGCAAAAGUCAUGUUGAGAAAGAAAACAAAUAUCUCUUCCUUAAAUCCCCCUCAAGAAUAACAAACUAAAAAAUAAAAAGUAUGCUUCAGGCUGCAUUUAGACACAAUCAAGUCUUUCUCUGGCCAUGGAUAGAAUUUUUCAUCAUAAGUCUUUCAGAGUAGUCUUGGAUCAUUGUAUUGCUGAGAAUAGCAAAGUCAUUCACAGCUGAUCAUCCUAGAAUGUUGGUAUUACUUUGUACAUAAGUACAUUUCAUUUUGAGUUCAUGGAACAUUUUCCAGGUUUUUCUGAGAGCAUCCUGCUCAUCAUUUCUCAUAUAACAGUAAUACUCCAUUGUAAUCACAUAGCACAAUUUAUUCAGCUAUUUCCCAAUUGUUGGACAUCCCCUCAAUUUCCAGUUCUUUGCCCUGAAAAAAGAGCUGCUAUUUAUAUAUAUUUAAUCUCUUGGAAUUCGUGCUAUUUAAUUGUUUUUUAAAUUUUGAUAUUGAAGUCUACUUGGGUAAGAUAGUAGAGCACAAAUGACAGAUUUUACAAAUUUUUGAGUAUUGGCCAGUCUAAGAAGAGACUCAUUACCAG
Molecule: long non-coding RNA, 1289 nt
Filed under: Sarcophilus harrisii (Tasmanian devil)
Lineage: Eukaryota; Metazoa; Chordata; Mammalia; Dasyuromorphia; Dasyuridae
Description: lncRNA (ENSSHAG00000032317.1)
Source: RNAcentral